This 509-nucleotide ribosomal RNA is filed under the name uncultured bacterium. RNAcentral's name for it is "bacterial SSU rRNA". It matches the Rfam family "Bacterial small subunit ribosomal RNA", at positions 501 to 1009 of the family's 1533-position model. The record is from RNAcentral.
CUACGUGCCAGCAGCCGCGGUAAUACGUAGGUCCCGAGCGUUAUCCGGAUUUAUUGGGCGUAAAGCGAGCGCAGGCGGUUAGAUAAGUCUGAAGUUAAAGGCUGUGGCUUAACCAUAGUACGCUUUGGAAACUGUUUAACUUGAGUGCAAGAGGGGAGAGUGGAAUUCCAUGUGUAGCGGUGAAAUGCGUAGAUAUAUGGAGGAACACCGGUGGCGAAAGCGGCUCUCUGGCUUGUAACUGACGCUGAGGCUCGAAAGCGUGGGGAGCAAACAGGAUUAGAUACCCUGGUAGUCCACGCCGUAAACGAUGAGUGCUAGGUGUUGGGUCCUUUCCGGGACUCAGUGCCGCAGCUAACGCAUUAAGCACUCCGCCUGGGGAGUACGACCGCAAGGUUGAAACUCAAAGGAAUUGACGGGGGCCCGCACAAGCGGUGGAGCAUGUGGUUUAAUUCGAUGCAACGCGAAGAACCUUACCUACUCUUGACAUCCAGAGAAUUCGCUAGAGAUAG